AGGAGGCCCAUUCUGAUGUGUGGAGUCAGGUGAGAAGAAGUGAGGCCAAGAACUUUUGGAAUUAAAAGCAGUGUGACUGCAGCUCGCCAUUCUCCUCUCUGAGCUCGGGGAUGACCAGAAGAACACCACCUGCAGGCUGACGGUCAGGAUGAAGUAAAAGAACCCACUAGAAAAACACUCUCCCAAUGGCAGGGAUUCAUAACUUAACCUGUCAAAGUGCUGGACAAAUCCGAGGAGGAGUGGCGCAGCCCCCUCCGCUGCCCCGCUGCGUCCUCCCCGGCCCCCCGGCUCCCAGGAUGGCCUGUCAGGAACGGAGCGUCCACCAGGCAGAGGCAGCGUGCCCUCGCACAGAACGGUCUCUGCAGCGGAGGAGGAGCCUGCAGCGUUCCUCCACAGACAGCACCUUCCCCCGCCCCAUCUUGGGCUCAGAGGACACACAGCCCUUGUAGGCCUGCGAGUGGAUGCUGACCGACUCCGCGUUUCAUCUCAGAAAGGCGAGAUGGAAAGCACAGCCCUAUCAUCUGAGGCUCACCAACGCUUGCCGAACGGAUGGAUAAGAGAUCAGAUGCAGCCGCCACGUCAUGGACCACUGAGCUAUUGCAAGCAGAAGGGAGCGCCACGGUUCACACCUGCGGGCCUGCGUUCACCGCCUUAUCUCAGUUCACAGCAAACAUCAGCGAUCACCUACCUUGUCUCAGAGCUCACAUCUGAGGGCACAGGAGGGCCUAUGGGGCAGCGAGGCCAAAUAUCUAUAAUUUGACUUCGUUGUGAACUUUCCCACUCCUACCUUCUAUCUGAGGAGUGAUUAUGCUGGAAGGUAACCAGUUAUGCAGUCAGUAGUUGUAAAAUAAAAAUGAAAUUGGCUCUCUGUAUUUAGUUUCCAAAAUUAUGUUAAUCAGAAUGAUCUCAUUUAAGCUUCACAACAACCUUGGGAGGUAGGUAUGAUCAUCACCCCAUUUUACUAUUGAGCAAACUGAGGCUCUGAGAGGAUAAUCAACUUCUCUGGUACCUGGCAGAGCGGGACUUGAAGCCAGGUCCGGAGCCCAGCCGACGGGACAGGCCUGGGAAGCACGGAG
This 1076-nucleotide long non-coding RNA is filed under the name Equus asinus (donkey). Its description in RNAcentral is "lncRNA (ENSEASG00005027162.1)". The record is from RNAcentral. Lineage: Eukaryota; Metazoa; Chordata; Mammalia; Perissodactyla; Equidae.